GCAUAAUAAUUAGUCUUUUAAUUGGUGACUGGAAUGAAUGAAUUUAUAAAAUUAAAGCUUUAUUUAUUUUAUUAAUAAAAUUUAAUAUAUUAGUGAAGAAGCUAAUAUUAUUUUAUAGGACAAGAAGACCCUAAUGAUUUUUAUUUUAAUAAUUUAUUUAAAUAGUAUAAUAUUUUUAUAUAAUUAAUAGAAUUUUACUGGGGCGGUAUAAUUAUAAAUAAAUAGAAAAACUUAUAUAUUAAUAAAUGAUAAUAUCUAAAUAAUGAUCCUUUAUAAUGAUUAAAAGUAAUAAAUACCAUAGGGAUAACAGGCUUAUUAAUUUAGAUAGUUUAUAUUGAAAAAUUAGU
Molecule: ribosomal RNA, 347 nt
Filed under: Tomopteris sp. USNM IZ 1163716
Lineage: Eukaryota; Metazoa; Annelida; Polychaeta; Phyllodocida; Tomopteridae
Description: partial large subunit ribosomal RNA
Source: RNAcentral